RNAcentral lists this ribosomal RNA (250 nucleotides) under uncultured bacterium. Its description in RNAcentral is "partial 16S ribosomal RNA". It matches the Rfam family "Bacterial small subunit ribosomal RNA", at positions 524 to 773 of the family's 1533-position model. The record is from RNAcentral.
AACGUAGGAGGCUAGCGUUAUCCGGAUUUACUGGGCGUAAAGCGCGUGCAGGCGGUUUCGCAAGUUGGGCGUAAAAUCUCCUGGCUCAACUAGGAGGGGUCGUUCAAUACUGCGAGACUUGAGGGUAGGAGAGGGAAGCGGAAUUCCCGGUGUAGCGGUAAUAUGCGCAGAUAUCGGGAGGAACACCAGUGGCGAAGGCGGCUUCCUGGCCUGCUUCUGACGCUCAGACGCGAAAGCUAGGGUAGCGAAC